RNAcentral lists this ribosomal RNA (203 nucleotides) under Salmonella enterica subsp. enterica serovar Derby. RNAcentral describes it as "partial 23S ribosomal RNA". It matches the Rfam family "Bacterial large subunit ribosomal RNA", at positions 2164 to 2366 of the family's 2925-position model. Lineage: Bacteria; Pseudomonadati; Pseudomonadota; Gammaproteobacteria; Enterobacterales; Enterobacteriaceae. The record is from RNAcentral.
GUGGACGCCAGUCUGCGUGGAGCCGGCCUUGAAAUACCACCCUUUAAUGUUUGAUGUUCUAACGUGGACCCGUGAUCCGGGUUGCGGACAGUGUCUGGUGGGUAGUUUGACUGGGGCGGUCUCCUCCUAAAGAGUAACGGAGGAGCACGAAGGUUGGCUAAUCCUGGUCGGACAUCAGGAGGUUAGUGCAAUGGCAUAAGCGA